AGAGCAGGUUAUCUGAUUCUUUUUCUACUUUGUCUUUGUUGCCGCCGGUGGCCGCCGCCACCGGCGGCUCCCUAAAAGUUUCUUUUUCAACUUGUGCCUUUAUGCUUCAAUGGGCAAUCUCUAGUUUCUGUCUCGCAUCUGUCCGAUGUUGUUGUUCGCCACUGCCCGUUGCCACUCGCCACCGGCCGUCCGCCACCGCCGGCCAUCGUCUCCGGCCACCGUCUCCGACCGUCGUCUCCGCCACUUGUGCCACUGAUGCACCAACACCUAGUCCUACCUCUAACAUUUUCGCUAUCUUCUUCUUUAUUCUGAAAGGUCUUCAAGGACAAUUAGUGGUUAACACCAAGAAAUUUCAACACUAAAAUUAUGGGUUGAAACAAUUUCACCAACCCUUUUUUAAAUCUGUCAGAUUUAUUUUUGGGUGCUUUGAUGAAUAAGAGCUCAUUAUGAUCUUCCACUUUCACGGUCUGUCAUUGGCGCGCCAUCAUUUCCGCCGUUCGUCGUGAGGGGGAGUAUGUUUCUAGCCAGGUUUUAGGCUUUCAGACUCCACUAGUCAAUGAUGACAGUCCUUGCAGUUUUGUCGCUUCUAGCCACUACAGGCCCCAUCAGUCAGUGAUGGCAUUCCCUGUAGUUUUGUCGCUUUUAGCCACUACAGGCCCCAUCAGUCAGUGAUGGCAUUCCCUGUAGUUUUGUUGCUUUUAGCCACUACUGGCCCCAUCAGUCAGUGAUGGCAUUCCCUGUAGUUUUGUCGCUUUUAGCCACUAC
Molecule: long non-coding RNA, 765 nt
Filed under: Vigna radiata
Lineage: Eukaryota; Viridiplantae; Streptophyta; Magnoliopsida; Fabales; Fabaceae
Description: long non-coding RNA (VRAD_LNC005881)
Source: RNAcentral